GAAAUUUCUUCGAGUCCACCACCUUCAAUGAACCCAACUGAGACUACUCUGACCUCAAGAGGAUCUGUCACCAGAUGCCCUCUCUCUCCUCUUCCUUCACGGCAGAGACAGGUGAAGGACCAGCCGUCCUCCACAUCAUCAGCGAUCUCGUCUCUCUCCUCUUCUAUUUGAUGAGCUCAACGGCAACAAUGGGGUUUAGACCCGAUGUGAUGAAAACUGUUGGUAAACUCUGUUGGCAGUGCCUGUGCCCCUCCCAGACACUGCCGUUACGGCAAUCUUGGUCCACCUCCGCCGGUCCGUCUGCCACCGUCGUCAACCAGCACCACCAUCGCCGUCCUCUAUCACGGUAUCCCUCACUGCUCAGCAAAGGAGAUCAGUACCAACCCUGUUGUCAACACUCUACGGCUUGCCGGCUCUGAUUUGGCAACUUCCAUAUGAUCUGAUCUGAUCUCAUUUGAGAAUGAAAACUUGAUCUGAUAAUCUGAACGAGAUCAAUCUGUAAUUUGUGUACGAGAUCAAUCAGCUACGAUGGCCAUUUCAACCCCAUUUUGGUUGUUUAGGUGCUGGAGCUCACUAACGACGUCUUCAUCGGCUACUCUCGCAACCACUCCGCGAGAUGAUGAUGAAGAUAUACCAGAUCUCAACCUCUAUUGUUGAACCCUAUAACAGUGUCUUGUCCACUCACCCAUGUGACCCACACUCACACACACACCCUUGCAACCCAUUUUAAUAUAUUAACAUCACUAUCCUAGCCCACAGGUUUCGAAAACCCCCACCGGAUUUAUUUUAUUUUCAUCAUCACUUUGCUGGUGCACAUUCUCAUUCUCAUUAUUUUUAUUAUUAUCACAUGGGCGUGUUACCCCUCUUU
Non-coding RNA from Camellia sinensis, 868 nucleotides. The record is from RefSeq and is a predicted model, not a curated record. NCBI's taxonomy places the organism in Eukaryota, Viridiplantae, Streptophyta, Magnoliopsida, Ericales, Theaceae.